UUAAGCGACUAAGCGUACACGGUGGAUGCCCUGGCAGUCAGAGGCGAUGAAGGACGUGCUAAUCUGCGAAAAGCGUCGGUAAGGUGAUAUGAACCGUUAUAGCCGGCGAUGUCCGAAUGGGGAAACCCAGUGCAAUUCGUUGCACUAUCGUUAACUGAAUACAUAGGUUAACGAGGCGAACCGGGGGAACUGAAACAUCUAAGUACCCCGAGGAAAAGAAAUCAACCGAGAUUCCCCCAGUAGCGGCGAGCGAACGGGGAGCAGCCCAGAGUCUGAAUCAGCUUGUGUGUUAGUGGAACGGUCUGGAAAGUCCGACGGUACAGGGUGAUAGUCCCGUACACCAAAAUGCACAGGCUGUGAACUCGAAGAGUAGGGCGGGACACGUGGUAUCCUGUCUGAAUAUGGGGGGACCAUCCUCCAAGGCUAAAUACUCCUGACUGACCGAUAGUGAACCAGUACCGUGAGGGAAAGGCGAAAAGAACCCCGGCGAGGGGAGUGAAAAAGAACCUGAAACCGUGUACGUACAAGCAGUGGGAGCACCUUCGGGUGUGACUGCGUACCUUUUGUAUAAUGGGUCAGCGACUUAUAUUCUGUAGCAAGGUUAACCGUAUAGGGGAGCCGCAGGGAAACCGAGUCUUAACUGGGCGUUAAGUUGCAGGGUAUAGACCCGAAACCCGGUGAUCUAGCCAUGGGCAGGUUGAAGGUUGGGUAACACUAACUGGAGGACCGAACCGACUAAUGUUGAAAAAUUAGCGGAUGACUUGUGGCUGGGGGUGAAAGGCCAAUCAAACCGGGAGAUAGCUGGUUCUCCCCGAAAGCUAUUUAGGUAGCGCCUCGUGAACUCAUCUUCGGGGGUAGAGCACUGUUUCGGCUAGGGGGUCAUCCCGACUUACCAACCCGAUGCAAACUACGAAUACCGAAGAAUGUUAUCACGGGAGACACACGGCGGGUGCUAACGUCCGUCGUGAAGAGGGAAACAACCCAGACCGCCAGCUAAGGUCCCAAAGUCAUGGUUAAGUGGGAAACGAUGUGGGAAGGCACAGACAGCCAGGAUGUUGGCUUAGAAGCAGCCAUCAUUUAAAGAAAGCGUAAUAGCUCACUGGUCGAGUCGGCCUGCGCGGAAGAUGUAACGGGGCUAAACCAUGCACCGAAGCUGCGGCAGCGACACUAUGUGUUGUUGGGUAGGGGAGCGUUCUGUAAGCCUGCGAAGGUGACCUGUGAGGGUUGCUGGAGGUAUCAGAAGUGCGAAUGCUGACAUAAGUAACGAUAAAGCGGGUGAAAAGCCCGCUCGCCGGAAGACCAAGGGUUCCUGUCCAACGUUAAUCGGGGCAGGGUGAGUCGACCCCUAAGGCGAGGCCGAAAGGCGUAGUCGAUGGGAAACAGGUUAAUAUUCCUGUACUUGGUGUUACUGCGAAGGGGGGACGGAGAAGGCUAUGUUAGCCGGGCGACGGUUGUCCCGGUUUAAGCAUGUAGGCUGGUUGUCCAGGCAAAUCCGGAUAAUCAAGGCUGAGGUGUGAUGACGAGGCACUACGGUGCUGAAGUAACAAAUGCCCUGCUUCCAGGAAAAGCCUCUAAGCAUCAGGUAACAUCAAAUCGUACCCCAAACCGACACAGGUGGUCAGGUAGAGAAUACCAAGGCGCUUGAGAGAACUCGGGUGAAGGAACUAGGCAAAAUGGUGCCGUAACUUCGGGAGAAGGCACGCUGGUGUGUAGGUGAAGUCCCUGCGGAUGGAGCUGAGACCAGUCGAAGAUACCAGCUGGCUGCAACUGUUUAUUAAAAACACAGCACUGUGCAAACACGAAAGUGGACGUAUACGGUGUGACGCCUGCCCGGUGCCGGAAGGUUAAUUGAUGGGGUUAUCCGUAAGGAGAAGCUCUUGAUCGAAGCCCCGGUAAACGGCGGCCGUAACUAUAACGGUCCUAAGGUAGCGAAAUUCCUUGUCGGGUAAGUUCCGACCUGCACGAAUGGCGUAAUGAUGGCCAGGCUGUCUCCACCCGAGACUCAGUGAAAUUGAACUCGCUGUGAAGAUGCAGUGUACCCGCGGCAAGACGGAAAGACCCCGUGAACCUUUACUAUAGCUUGACACUGAACAUUGAGCCUUGAUGUGUAGGAUAGGUGGGAGGCUUUGAAGCGUGGACGCCAGUCUGCGUGGAGCCAACCUUGAAAUACCACCCUUUAAUGUUUGAUGUUCUAACGUUGGCCCCUUACCGGGGUUGCGGACAGUGUCUGGUGGGUAGUUUGACUGGGGCGGUCUCCUCCCAAAGCGUAACGGAGGAGCACGAAGGUUAGCUAAUCCUGGUCGGACAUCAGGAGGUUAGUGCAAUGGCAUAAGCUAGCUUGACUGCGAGCGUGACGGCGCGAGCAGGUGCGAAAGCAGGUCAUAGUGAUCCGGUGGUUCUGAAUGGAAGGGCCAUCGCUCAACGGAUAAAAGGUACUCCGGGGAUAACAGGCUGAUACCGCCCAAGAGUUCAUAUCGACGGCGGUGUUUGGCACCUCGAUGUCGGCUCAUCACAUCCUGGGGCUGAAGUAGGUCCCAAGGGUAUGGCUGUUCGCCAUUUAAAGUGGUACGCGAGCUGGGUUUAGAACGUCGUGAGACAGUUCGGUCCCUAUCUGCCGUGGGCGCUGGAGAAUUGAGGGGGGCUGCUCCUAGUACGAGAGGACCGGAGUGGACGCAUCACUGGUGUUCGGGUUGUCAUGCCAAUGGCACUGCCCGGUAGCUAAAUGCGGAAGAGAUAAGUGCUGAAAGCAUCUAAGCACGAAACUUGCCCCGAGAUGAGUUCUCCCUGAGACUUUAAGUCUCCUGAAGGAACGUUAAAGACGAUGACGUUGAUAGGCCGGGUGUGUAAGCGCAGCGAUGCGUUGAGCUAACCGGUACUAAUGAACCGUGAGGCUUAACCU
Molecule: ribosomal RNA, 2899 nt
Filed under: Klebsiella pneumoniae subsp. pneumoniae
Lineage: Bacteria; Pseudomonadati; Pseudomonadota; Gammaproteobacteria; Enterobacterales; Enterobacteriaceae
Description: 23S ribosomal RNA
Rfam family: Bacterial large subunit ribosomal RNA
Source: RNAcentral